Molecule: ribosomal RNA, 506 nt
Filed under: uncultured bacterium
Lineage: Bacteria
Description: partial 16S ribosomal RNA
Rfam family: Bacterial small subunit ribosomal RNA
Source: RNAcentral
GGACGAACGCUGGCGGCGUGCCUAAUACAUGCAAGUCGAACGCACAGUUUAUACCGUAGCUUGCUACACCAUAGACUGUGAGUUGCGAACGGGUGAGUAACGCGUAGGUAACCUGCCUGGUAGCGGGGGAUAACUAUUGGAAACGAUAGCUAAUACCGCAUAAUAUUGAUUAUUGCAUGAUAAUUAAUUGAAAGGUGCAAUUGCACCACUACCAGAUGGACCUGCGUUGUAUUAGCUAGUAGGUGAGGUAACGGCUCACCUAGGCGACGAUACAUAGCCGACCUGAGAGGGUGAUCGGCCACACUGGGACUGAGACACGGCCCAGACUCCUACGGGAGGCAGCAGUAGGGAAUCUUCGGCAAUGGACGAAAGUCUGACCGAGCAACGCCGCGUGAGUGAAGAAGGUUUUCGGAUCGUAAAGCUCUGUUGUAAGAGAAGAACGGGUGUGAGAGUGGAAAGUUCACACUGUGACGGUAUCUUACCAGAAAGGGACGGCUAACUACGUG